CCUACGGGAGGCAGCAGUCGAGAAUUUUUCACAAUGGGCGCAAGCCUGAUGGAGCGACGCCGCGUGGGGGAUGAAUGGCUUCGGCCCGUAAACCCCUGUCAUUUGCGAUCAAAGCGCGUUAUUUAAAAGAUGACGUGUUGAUAGUAGCGAAAGAGGAAGGGACGGCUAACUCUGUGCCAGCAGCCGCGGUAAUACAGAGGUCCCGAGCGUUGUUCGGAUUCACUGGGCGUAAAGGGUGCGUAGGUGGUGGGGUAAGUCGGAUGUGAAAUCUCGGA
Molecule: ribosomal RNA, 275 nt
Filed under: uncultured bacterium
Lineage: Bacteria
Description: partial 16S ribosomal RNA
Rfam family: Bacterial small subunit ribosomal RNA
Source: RNAcentral